RNAcentral lists this ribosomal RNA (1667 nucleotides) under Vampyroteuthis infernalis. RNAcentral's name for it is "bacterial LSU rRNA". It matches the Rfam family "Bacterial large subunit ribosomal RNA", at positions 1123 to 2786 of the family's 2925-position model. The record is from RNAcentral. Lineage: Eukaryota; Metazoa; Mollusca; Cephalopoda; Vampyromorpha; Vampyroteuthidae.
UUAAAGAAAGCGUAAUAGCUCACUAGUCGAGUCGGCCUGCGCGGAAGAUGUAACGGGGCUAAGCCAGUUACCGAAGCUGCGGAUGUGCAAUUUAUUGCACGUGGUAGGAGAGCGUUCUGUAGGCCUGUGAAGGUGUCUGGUAACGGAUGCUGGAGGUAUCAGAAGUGCGAAUGCUGACAUGAGUAGCGUUAAAGGGGGUGAAAAGCCCCCUCGCCGUAAGCGCAAGGUUUUCUACGCAACGUUCAUCGGCGUAGAGUGAGUCGGCCCCUAAGGCGAGGCAGAGAUGCGUAGCUGAUGGGAAACAGGUCAAUAUUCCUGUACCGAUCAAUAGUGCGAUGUGGGGACGGAGAAGGUUAGCUCAGCCAACUGUUGGAUAUGUUGGUUCAAGCCUGUAGUCGUGCCUGGUAGGCAAAUCCGCCGGGCUUAGAUGAGGGGUGAUAACGAGUCUGCUUGCAGACGAAGUGAGUGAUACCCUGCUUCCAGGAAAAGCCACUAAGCUUCAGGUUAAAUCGAACCGUACCCCAAACCGACACAGGUGAUCAGGUAGAGAAUACUAAGGCGUUCGAGAGAAUCAUGGUUAAGGAACUCGGCAAAAUGCCCCCGUAACUUCGGGAGAAGGGGGGCCCGACGUGUGAGACCCCUUUGCGGGUUGGCACGGAGGGCCGCAGAGACCAGGGAGAAGCGACUGUUUACUAAAAACACAGGUCCGUGCGAAGUCGUAAGACGAUGUAUACGGACUGACUCCUGCCCGGUGCUGGAAGGUUAAGAGGACCGGUUAGUAGUCUUUGACUGCGAAGCUGAGAAUUUAAGCCCCAGUAAACGGCGGUGGUAACUAUAACCAUCCUAAGGUAGCGAAAUUCCUUGUCGGGUAAGUUCCGACCUGCACGAAUGGUCUAAUGAGUUGAACACUGUCUCCUCCACGAGCCCGGUGAAAUUGUAGUAUCGGUGAAGAUGCCGGUUACCCGUCACGGGACGGAAAGACCCCAUGAACCUUCACUACAACUUUGCAUUGAUUUUGAGCACCAAGUGUGUAGGAUAGUUGGGAGACUAUGAAGCAGUGUCGCCAGGCAUUGUGGAGUCAUCGUUGAAAUACCAACCUCUUGUUGCUUAGAACCUAACCCCUACAGGGGGACAUUGCAUGGUGGGUAGUUUGACUGGGGUGGUCGCCUCCUAAAAAGUAACGGAGGCUCGCAAAGGUACCCUCAGUACGGUUGGUAAUCGUACGUAGAGCGCAUUAGUAUAAGGGUGCUUGACUGUGAGACAGACAAGUCGAUCAGGUGCGAAAGCAGGCUAAAGUGAUCCGGUGGUUCUGUAUGGAAGGGCCAUCGCUCAACGGAUAAAAGGUACGCCGGGGAUAACAGGCUGAUGACCCCCAAGAGUCCAUAUCGACGGGGUUGUUUGGCACCUCGAUGUCGACUCAUCGCAUCCUGGGGCUGGAGCAGGUCCCAAGGGUAUGGCUGUUCGCCAUUUAAAGAGGUACGUGAGCUGGGUUUAAAACGUCGUGAGACAGUUUGGUCCCUAUCUUCCGUGGGCGCUGCAAGAUUGAGAGAGCCUGCUCCUAGUACGAGAGGACCGGAGUGGACGCACCUCUGGUGUAUCGGUUGUCACGCCAGUGGCAUUGCCGAGUAGCUAAGUGCGGAAGAGAUAACCGCUGAAAGCAUCUAAGC